GAUGAACGCUGGCGGCGUGCCUAAUACAUGCAAGUCGAACGGACGACGAUCUUCGGAAAGUCGUUAGUGGCGACCGGGUGAGUAACACGUAGCUGAUCUACCUUCUACAGGGGGAUAACGUCCCGAAAGGGAUGCUAAUACCGCGUAAGCUCGGAGGACUUAGAACCUUCCGAGGAAAGCCUUAGGGCGGUAGAAGAGGAGGCUGCGUUCCAUCAGCUAGUUGGUGAGGUAAAGGCUCACCAAGGCGACGACGGAUCGGGGGCCUGAGAGGGUGACCCCCCACACUGGUACUGACACACGGACCAGACUCCUACGGGAGGCAGCAGUAAGGAAUAUUGCGCAAUGGACGAAAGUCUGACGCAGCAACGCCGCGUGCGGGAUGAAGGGCUUCGGCUCGUAAACCGCUUUUAUCAGGGAAGAGCAAGGACGGUACCUGAUGAAUAAGUCUCGGCUAACUACGUG
This 462-nucleotide ribosomal RNA is filed under the name uncultured organism. Its description in RNAcentral is "bacterial SSU rRNA". It matches the Rfam family "Bacterial small subunit ribosomal RNA", at positions 28 to 507 of the family's 1533-position model. The record is from RNAcentral.